This 454-nucleotide ribosomal RNA is filed under the name uncultured bacterium. RNAcentral's name for it is "bacterial SSU rRNA". It matches the Rfam family "Bacterial small subunit ribosomal RNA", at positions 340 to 786 of the family's 1533-position model. The record is from RNAcentral.
UACGGAAGGCAGCAGUGGGGAAUAUUGCACAAUGGGCGCAAGCCUGAUGCAGCCAUGCCGCGUGUAUGAAGAAGGCCUUCGGGUUGUAAAGUACUUUCAGUCGUGAGGAAGGUGUUAAGGUUAAUAACCUUAGCAAUUGACGUUAGCGACAGAAGAAGCACCGGCUAACUCCGUGCCAGCAGCCGCGGUAAUACGGAGGGUGCGAGCGUUAAUCGGAAUUACUGGGCGUAAAGGGCACGCAGGCGGUUAAUUAAGUUGGAUGUGAAAUCCCCGGGCUUAACCUGGGAAUGGCAUUCAAGACUGGUUAGCUAGAGUCUUGUAGAGGGGGUAGAAUUCCAUGUGUAGCGGUGAAAUGCGUAGAGAUGUGGAGGAAUACCGGUGGCGAAGGCGGCCCCUGGGACAAAGACUGACGCUCAUGUGCGAAAGCGUGGGGAGGCAAACAGGAUUAGAUACC